Molecule: unclassified non-coding RNA, 362 nt
Filed under: uncultured bacterium
Lineage: Bacteria
Description: contains 16S-23S intergenic spacer region
Source: RNAcentral
UCCCUGUUACCAGGGCAGUCUGAAUAGAAAAAUUCAACUAUUCACAAGGGUUGCGCUCGUUGAUGGACUUAACCAAACAUCUCACGACACGAGCUGACGACGGCCAUGCAUCACCUGUCACUGCGGCCCGAAGGCACAUCUACCUUUCGGUAGACUUGGCAGGAUGUCAAACCUGGGUAAGGUUCUUCGCUUAUCGUCGAAUUAAACAACACGCUCCACCGCUUGUGCGGGUCCCCGUCAAUUCCUUUAUGUUUUAAGCUUGCGCUCGUACUCCACAGGCGGGAUGCUUAACGCGUUAGCUUCGCUACUAGAAGGGUCGAUACUUCUAACAGCUAGCAUCCAUAGUUUACGGCGUGGACUAC